This 715-nucleotide long non-coding RNA is filed under the name Homo sapiens (human). Its description in RNAcentral is "HSALNT0115560". The record is from RNAcentral. Lineage: Eukaryota; Metazoa; Chordata; Mammalia; Primates; Hominidae.
GAGCAGUUUUAAAAUUGUAAUGACUUAAUAAAGGAGAUGCCUCAGAUUGGAGAGAGGUUUCAUCUUCAGAACUUCUCUUGCCCCAAUUUUGUCUUAUCCAGAGUACUUAAUCUAAGAGUAGGGGGGUAAAUCCUCAACUAUAGUUAUUUUGUGACAAUAAUUUCAGUAUUUGCAUUUUUACCAUUCGUCUUCUAAAUAACUUUUUGAACAAGGUUCUUAUGCUCUUUUUAGGGAUGAAGAAAUGAGGGAUUGGAAGGUUGUGCUAUUUGCCCAAGUGGCCCAACCUGAGGAAUGGGGUGCUUGCCAGGACUUUAAGCCCUGGGUGCAUCCUAGGACCCUGCUGCCCUACAAGGCAUGCCCUGGGUCAGCUCCCAGGACCCACUCUGCCCCAUGUCCUUCUCUCCCAGGAAUUUUACUGGGGACCAAGAAGGUGAUAGAAGUUGUGAAAAGCAUAACCUAAGAAUGAUAGAGCCGUGUUCCGGUUAAGAGCAAGCAAAGGAAAAUUAGGAGGGCAGUAGGAGAAGAAGAUAGAAAGACAGGUUGGGUCUAAAAUUUUAAAGUGCCCCAAAUGCUAGGCAAAGGAGAUUUCCUUACUUCAUUAGGCGAGAAGGAGCCAUUAAGGGUUUUUGGACAAGAUGAAAUAACAGGAAAAUUAAUGUAGUGUGUAAUGGAUUAGAUAAAAUAACAGAUUUAGAGUCAGGGAGAAGAGCUAGGA